UCGCUCCUACCGAUUUCGAGUGGUCCGGUGAGCCUUUUGGACGGGGGAGCUUGCUCCUCUGAAAAUCAAGCAAACCUUAUCACUUAGAGGAAGGAG
RNAcentral lists this ribosomal RNA (96 nucleotides) under uncultured eukaryote. Its description in RNAcentral is "partial small subunit ribosomal RNA". The record is from RNAcentral.